Herpailurus yagouaroundi (jaguarundi) is the source of this 7592-nucleotide long non-coding RNA. RefSeq lists it as uncharacterized. NCBI's taxonomy places the organism in Eukaryota, Metazoa, Chordata, Mammalia, Carnivora, Felidae. The transcript is spliced from 3 exons. The record is from RefSeq and is a predicted model, not a curated record.
AUAUGAGGAAAUUAAAGCUUAGAAAGCUUAUCUUUCUCAAGAACUGAUCAAAUUCCUGUCUUAGAAAUUAGAAAUUGGGAAAAUGAAUCCAUUCCUCAUAGAAAAAUUUUAUUGUAGACAUACAGUAGAGAAUCAGUUCCUAAUGGAAAAACUUUAUUUUUAUUUUAUCAUAGAGCAAGAUCAGGAAGAGAUCUCCCUCCACACAGGGGAAGGAAAUUGUUUUUUUUUUUAUUAUGUAUGAGGCUGAGAUUGAAGGUGAUGGAAAGGAAAUAAUUGAAUAUGAGGGGUCGAAACACCAUGUGAGGAAAGAGGGUAAGGGCUCUCUUGGUGGCUAGGGCUUUUCAUUCUUGUGUUGAUAACUGUAAGAGACUUCCUUUCUCUGGAGUUCAUUUGAAUUGAUUUUUGGUUCUUUGUGACCUAAAGGUCCAAAUUAAAGCAGACCUGUAUAUUUGCAUAUAUUUGCUAGCUUAGUUUCAAUUAAGUAGAGGAAAUCUUGACUGAAAAGUGAUUAUAUUCCAGAAGUGUAUUUAUGAAUUUGAUUGGAAUGUAGAAAAUGGUUUCUCAUGAAAACAAUUAUAAGUGAUAAUUAUAUUCUUUAGUUAGUUCAUAUAGGUUGUAUCAGGUUGAACUACUAUAUAUUAUUAUGUAAUAAAAAUAGAUAACACUAUUGAAAUAUGUUUAUUAAAGUAAAGUCAGUGAUUCAAAUGAAGACUAAAAUAGUUUUUCUCAAAUGCUGGUACCUGAAGAAAAGCAGACUUAAUUAAAGAAGCAUAGGGUAGUAGAUAUAAAUUUACAUGACAGUUUUGGCUGCUUCAUAUUUAUUUAAAACAACUGUAUUGAAGGUGUUUAGUAUCCAUGACAGAUAAUUUGUGUUUAAAACUGUAAUGAAAUGAGAAAGGAUGGAGAUCUAUUUCUUUGGUCUGUGAAAGAUAGAGGGAAAGGAACAUGAUACAUGAUCCCUACCUCCUAUGUUAAAAGCAUUAUUUGUGGGCACCAAAUUUCUGUUCAUUGGUUCUCAAACUCUUGGGUCUGUGGACCACUUUAUACUCUUAAAAGUUAUUCAGGACACCAACGAAUUUUUGUUUAUGUUGUUAUGUCUAUUGAUAUUUUUUGUACUUGAAAUUAAAAAAGAAAUAUUGAAUAUAGAAACAUACAUUCCGUUAGUCAUCAGAGUGAUUAUGUUAUCACAAGGUCAUAUAGUGUCUGAGAAACUCCACUGUAUACUCAGAAAAUGAGAGUAGAAAAGGCAUUUAACCUGUUAGCCAUAUUAUUAAAAUAGUUUUGACUUUAUAGCUAUCCUGAUCAGGUCCUGAGUGAGAAACCCUGGAUCAAACUUUGAAGACUGCUCCUGUAGUUAUAGUAAUUCUGUUUUGAAACUCUUUAUUUUAAAUGGGAGAAGACUUUAGUCUUCUAAAGUUGAUGCAAGAAAUAAACCAUUUUCAGAAUGUGUAUAUUUUAUGUUGAGCAAACUCAUCACUCUUAAAUUCAGUUAUUUUACAUAAUGGAAGAAAACAAUUUGAGUUGACUUUGUAUUUAGUUUUAGAUUGGAAGACCAAAAUAUGAAGAAAAAAAGAGAUGGAUAGUGUUGAUUGUAGGGGUGUGUGUGUGUGUGUGUGUGUGUGUGUGUGUGUGUGUGUGUGUGUGUUGGGGAGAAGUGUUUUGGUCAAAUGGAAUUGAGCUGGUACUGGAAAUGUGAUCUCCGUGGCUCAUCUAAUGGUGGUCAUUUUGCUCUGUUUUUAGCCAUACAUUGUGGUUCACUAUAUGGCUGUUACUUGAGUCCUAUACCAGAAAGACUUAUGAUGGGUUGGCGCACAGAAAUGUCAUAUUUCAAUCACGACAUGAGAAAUGGUUGGAUUGCCUGUCCUACUAGGAGAUUCUCGACUGACAUUUUAUCGUGUUAUUGUGUUCCACGCUAUUUAGUUCCUUCUGGAGCCUUCCGAAUUUCACAUGCACUACUUUCAUCAGCUCCUGCAGAGUGGAUAACUUACCUAGGGACCCAGGUCUUGCUGGACAAGCAGGCAAUUGUGAACAGGGACAGACUGGCCUUUUUUUUUUUUUUUUUUUGACUUAAAUUUUUAUAUUUUUUGCGUUUUAAAGUAUAGAUACUCAUUUUGGCAGUUUAUUGAAAAGUAAAAGCCAGUGAGUUUUCUGUAGGAAAUACAUAUCUUUAUCUGAAGUGGAAAGAUUGUGUAAAAGUGAGCCUAACUACCUGCUGGCUUUUCUUUCCAUAUUCAGUAACUUUUACAUUGUAACUGAAACAUUUUUCUAUCUCUAAACUAAGUAUAUCUUUGUUUUCUGGUACAUAUUUCUGUAAUGUAAACAUGCUUGUGUAGAUAUGAAGAAAACAAUGAGAAGCUGUUCUGUAUGCACAAAAUAUGGUGUCUUGUGGGGGUUUACUAAGGAAGUAGAAGGGAGGGAUUUAUUUGAGGAGCUUUAAACUAGUUGCAAACUGGGAAUUUAUUUUGUAUAUCAUAAAGGUAUAAUUCUGCCAUCAGUUUAAAAGAAAAACAAGAUUUUGGUAGACUCUUGACUAAAUGACUUUAACAAUGUUAGAGAAUUCUAAAAACUGGUAUAAAUCAGACUGCUGUAGGAUAGCAGCAAAAAAUUGGGGCUACUUUUUCGAUGUGUACUCAUUAUAAUUAGGUGUCUCUAUUGGCAUUAGGUAACAGGAAAAUUUGAUAUGUUGUAUUUUAAUGAAAUAAUGGCACUUUAUAAAACUGAAAGUUAAUUUUAAAUAUUGUUUAGCUCAGCCAGCCAGAAUUUUGAUGUGGAUGUGGAAGAAAAGAGUCACCUUAUAAAGUGCAAGAAUAAAUAUAUAUAUUUUUAAAUGCUAAAGUAUGAAGUUUAAAUUUUUUUGCUGCUUUUUGAAAAUAUGUAAGAACUAAAUUAGGUUUUUGAUUAAUGACUAGUUAAUAACAGGGAAUAAAUAAGCAUGAUUCUAAAAAUCAAAAUAGAAUGAAUUAGGAAUUGUUAAGACUUACGACGCUUUAAAAUUCUGUAUGAGAAAAUAGUGUAUUAUCAAGGGAUGAAUUGUGUUUUGUGUUGAUCGGGAACUUUGCUAUUUUUAAAAAUUUAUUUCUAUUUUCUGCAAUUAUAACAUUGUUUCCCAUCUCUCAGACUGAAUUUGAACUGAUUUCUUCUUAACACCAUUAAGCAACUUAGUAAUCAGUGGCAUUUAAUUUUUGUAAAGCAAAACUUAGGGCUUAGGGGGCUUCCAAUAAAACUAAAAAGCCAUUGAAAUUGUUUUGUUUGGAUUUUAGUUUAAAUCUGUGUCUAUCCUGCUUUAUAGCUCUCCCUUUGACUAAUAGAUUAACAGUGCCUUUUUCUGUGCACAGGUUUUAUGCAAAAAAGUAAAUUUUCUUAAUGUCUUCUAUCCUUCUUUUUGACAUUCAGUAGCCAAAUACUUUUUGCCUUAUCUUUACAUUAAGUAGCAAGAACAGUGUAGCUUGAAUAGAUUAAAGAUUAUUGUGUUGGAGUAUUUUUUAUCAUAUAAUGCUAUUAAGUUUUGCAGAAUUUCUGUAGUACUCUGUUUCUCCCAUUAGAAGAAGAAAGAAUUAGUUGUAUAAUAGAUAAAUUUAAAAUUGUAUAAUAGAAGCCCUAAUUGGGUAUUUGUGGAAAUGCAAGACUAAUUGUUUUAUCAUUCUUCUGGUAAGAAGUAAAAGCAUUGUUUUUGGUGAGAAUGGCACGUAGAGUUAGAAUUCAGCCAGACAAUUGGGGCUUCAACUGUUUUUACGAAUAAAGAGUAUAAUGGCCUAUAGAAACCUAAAUUUUCAGAAAUAUACUGAUUUCUGGCUUAGCUGAAUUUCUUAGUUUUGUUUGUUUGUUUUUGUUUUUAAAGCUAUCUUUCCAGCAAAGGAUAGAAUGUUAAAUACUUAGAAUUCUGAAGCAUGAUUUGGUAUAAAAUGACCUAAAAUUAUUUUUUAGUUUAUAGUAAAUACUGGGUUAAUUUUUUAAAGUAUAUUUCUGAGUUGCUUAACAUUUUUUUUGCAGUAUUCAAUGUUAAUUUUGAAAAGAAAUGUUUCAGCAAAAUUUUAAAACUGUUUUAGCACUCUUCUGCAGAUGAAUGGGCAGUCAGUGUCAGUCUUAAAAUUCUUUUGCAAGGUAACCAAAAUUAUUUUUCUCUGUGCAGUAGAAACAGUUAAAAUAAUGUUUAUGCACUGGGUUUUCUCCUGAUGUUUGAGUUUUUAAAAUUGCCACAUAGUCUGAAAAUGAUUUCAUUGUGCUGGAAAUGCUUUGGGGAAGAUUUAUUUUCUUUGUAAGUGGAAAUUGAGCACCACCUGUUGGUCAAACAUAUGUAUUUUCAUUUGUGAUUUCAGCAAAAAUAUUUUGUUGUUAAGUAAUUACAUUUCUUAACAACAGAGGUCUUAUAUAAUUCUGUCACAGUAUAGAUUUAUAUCUAAAAACUGUAUUUCAUAAAGUUCACCCGAAUGCCUUUAUUAUUACAGAUUAUAAAAUGAUCCACUUUUAUCGUCUUUACUGUAUAAGUAAGAUGUACUGUAUAAGUAAGUUUUCCUAACUUUAUUGCUAUAUUUUGCUGAAUUAUAUGUUACCCUCUUAAGGAAGUGGAUGGUCUUAACCCUCUGUGUACCUAUUAAGUUAUUAAAAGAAAUAAUUAUUUUAUUUGCCUUAUGUGGAAACUAUCAAAUUGAGGAAGAACAGUUUGACGUUUCCUAUGUUAUCUAUGCAUUAGCUGAAUGCUGCUGGAUUUAAUGUUUUAGAAAAAGAAAUCAUUUUCUAUUUGUUUUUCAUUCUUAGUAGCAGUUUGAAGUAAAAAGAAAGUAAGAAUUCUUACACUAGAAAAAGCAAUUACUGUUUUUAUUGCAGCUUUUAAAAUAAUUUUACACUGUCAUGCUGAAUGUUUUAUUUUGCUUGAAAUGGAUACUUAUAACUCAAGUAGACAUUAAUAAAGCAAAUUACUAAUUUUAAAAUGUUAAUUUUAAUAAUUGAUAUGAAUACAAAUGUUAAUAAAACUACUCAGAGCAAAGCAAAAAAGGUCUGAAGUGACAUUUGAUACUCUCAGAGAUGUGAAAACUAUAUUUUCAUUAAGACUAGUUGCAGAAGGCAACUGUGGUACUUCUUUCACUACUGACAUCAAAGUGAGUGCUACAGCUGUAUCAAAGUCUUAACCCCUCAUACAUUAAUAAUGUACAGUAAAUAAAUCAGUCCUUUUGGGUUUUAGGGAGGUUGAUCUUUUUAUUUUAGGUUAUACUUUCCAAGAAGAAAUUCCAUGCUUAGUGUUAGAUGUAUUUUUGCCAAGAAAACAGUAUAAAUACAGCCAAAAGAAAUGUUUAAGAAAUUUACGUUGGUAUUUUAUAUAUCAUAACUGAAAGUAACUGACUUUUUAUAUAAAAAUUAAGACUAGUAGUGUCAGCUAUAUUAGAUUAUUUCAAAUCAUGAAUCAUACCCCAAUUCCCCUCAACUCCUGUUGCUUUUUCCUAUAUCCCUUUAAUGUUACCACUUCUUGCUAGUUUUCCAAGCUAGAAACUUCAGAGUCAGUCCUGUCUCAUCUUCCCCAUCAAACUCAGUUUCUAAGCACUGGCAAAGACUCUUCAUUCUCUUCUCCAUACUACUGCUCUGCUUCAGUCUUCCUCAUUCCUCUGACUAUUCCAGUAGCUACCUAACUAAUUUUAUUGUUUUUAAUCUCUUUUCUAUUUCACCUUAUCUUCAAUAGCACUGAGACAUUUUUUGUUUUGUUUUUCUACUAAAACACUUGGCUGGUCAUAUUAAAAUUAUUCUUUAGAUCUCACUUGCCUACUAUGCAAUCAAAUCUAAAUUCCUUCAGAUGGCAUUUUACUGGGACCUUAGAAUCAGGUUCCAAUCUACUGCCUUACUUUUUCCUCUUCCCUUUCCCACCCAUUGAAACCAAAUGUCCUCUCCUUUGUGAACAGUCUUUUGAAGAAUUUAAUUAUACUAAUUUGAGCUCUACCAGCAAUUGGAUCAUAUUACUAGAAGGUCUUUUAUUACUGAAAGAGUUGUUAGUUUAUACUGGUAUAAAUAGUUAUGAAGUCCCUGAAACCGGUGACUAUGUGGUUUUGUUUGUUUGUUUGUUUGAAUUUUGAAUUUUAAGUCCCAGGCAUAGUCCUUGGCACACAAGAGGCUAUAAACUUAAAGAGUUUGUCUACUUUGUCUCCUAGAGCAAUUUACUUAAUUACUCAGUCCCUAAAUGUAUUUACAUGUGUAAUGUGCUUAGAACAGUGCCUGAUACAUAAUAAAGGCUCAAUAAAUGUUAACAUUUAAAAAACAAAAUAAACCAUUUAAUAUACUCAAAAUUGGGGGAAGUACACAAAUUUGAAGCAAUUAUUUAAAGAUGUUUUUGUAGUAAAAUAUCACAUUUUGAAGCUAAUUUAAAAUCUUGACUAUAUGAAAACCAUUGUAACUGAGUAAUGAAUGGUUUAAAGUUUUAGUGAGUUUGCUCUUUAGAGUUUAAUAAAAUAUGUGUACAUAUACAAAUAACUGCUUAAUCUUGUCUUAAAGUUGUCAUAUUAUGUUAAAGUAAUAUCACUCUAAACUGUUUACCAAAAUGUUUUUUACAGCUACAGAGAAAUAUUGUUAAGAAGAUAAAUAAAAAAUUGACACCUUUUUUUUUUAGGUAGACUUUUAAAUUAAAAGAUGAAGGCCUAGUAUAGGUUCCCCCCACCUCCAAAGUCUGGAUUAUAGUAAUAUUAGUAGAAGGUUUUAAAAGACAACUGUGGAAUGUUUGAAAUAAGUCAUUCUAUCACAAGGCUUGUGGCAGAAAUAGACUUCCUGUGACUUGACAGUCUUAGCUUUACUAGUGUUUUUGGUUGGUUGUUUUUACUUUCUUCCAUCCUUAAUGACUUGAUGAAUUUCCUCAUCAUUUCCAGCCAAGUUCAAAGUAAAUAUUUCCCUGAUUUUCUUUCCAUGGUUUUAGAGGGAGGAUAGAUGGGUACAUAAGGAAAUGUCAAUUUUUUUAUAACAUAUGAUGUUAUAGUUAAAUUUUAUUUCUUUAGUUAGAAAUCUUUACCAUUUGGCAUUGGGAGAUAAAGGUUAAAAACAUCCAUUGGGAAAUAGACCUCCGAAUCUAGACAGUUCUCCUCAAAAAUUCAUAAAAGCAUUCAUAAUGAAUGAGAAUCACUGAGUAAUGUUAAUAUUAGCUUAGAUUGUAAACGCAAGGUAUUUUUAAGGAGUUUACAACUUCUUGGAAUUAUAAAAGGUGUUUUUUCAGACAAUGGGGUAAAAAGAAAUUUGAUUCUUUGUGGGGUUGGAUCGUAUAUUUUGUAAUCUAGUAUCAUUAAAAUAUUGCAUAACUUUAAAAUAUCUUGGUAUGUAUCAUUUUCUUUCUGUGAAUGCUUAUGUUGGAAACAAGUAUACCUUUGACAGUCUGUGUUUAAUAUUAUGCGUGUCUGCUUUGAAUUUUUUCUUUUUUGAUUGACAUACAUUACUCCUGAGUGAGAUGCUUACUGUUGAUAAUAUUCUUAAAUAAUUUGUGCAGUCUACAAUUAAUAAUUUAACUGCAAAUGGCUUUCUGUUGACUCUUUGUAUGUUAUUUCAUCUUAUGAUUAUAAAAGAUGCCAUAAUUUAGUAAAUUAAUUUAUUUGGGGAAUUUAAUUAAACAUUCAAGGAUGAAUACAGUC